This 508-nucleotide ribosomal RNA is filed under the name uncultured bacterium. RNAcentral describes it as "bacterial SSU rRNA". It matches the Rfam family "Bacterial small subunit ribosomal RNA", at positions 8 to 518 of the family's 1533-position model. The record is from RNAcentral.
AGAGUUUGAUUCUGGCUCAGGAUGAACGCUGGCGGCGUGCUUAACACAUGCAAGUCGAACGAAGCAUUGGAGAUGAAGUUUCGGAUGGAUCUCCUUGACUUAGUGGCGGACGGGUGAGUAACGCGUGGGGAACCUGCCGUAUGCAGGGGGACAACAGUUGGAAACGACUGCUAAUACCGCAUAAGCGCACGGAACCGCAUGGUUUUGUGUGAAAAGAUUUAUCGGCAUACGAUGGCCCCGCGUUGGAUUAGGUAGUUGGUGAGGUAACGGCCCACCAAGCCGACGAUCCAUAGCCGACCUGAGAGGGUGACCGGCCACAUUGGGACUGAGACACGGCCCAAACUCCUACGGGAGGCAGCAGUGGGGAAUAUUGCACAAUGGGGGAAACCCUGAUGCAAGCGACGCCGCGUGAGUGAGGAAGUAUUUCGGUAUGUAAAGCUCUAUCAGCAGGGAAGAAGAUGACGGUACCUGCAUAAGAAGCCCCGGCUAACUACGUGCCAGCCGCCGC